RNAcentral lists this ribosomal RNA (251 nucleotides) under uncultured prokaryote. RNAcentral's name for it is "partial 16S ribosomal RNA". It matches the Rfam family "Bacterial small subunit ribosomal RNA", at positions 525 to 775 of the family's 1533-position model. The record is from RNAcentral.
ACAGAGGGUGCGAGCGUUAAUCGGAUUUACUGGGCGUAAAGCGUGCGUAGGCGGCUUUUUAAGUCGGAUGUGAAAUCCCUGAGCUUAACUUAGGAAUUGCAUUCGAUACUGGGAAGCUAGAGUAUGGGAGAGGAUGGUAGAAUUCCAGGUGUAGCGGUGAAAUGCGUAGAGAUCCGGAGGAACCCCAGUGGCGAAGGCGACCUGCUCGGCCUUGCCUGACGCUCAGACGCGAGAGCGUGGGGAGCAAACAG